This 1602-nucleotide unclassified non-coding RNA is filed under the name Dermacentor andersoni. RNAcentral's name for it is "pancreatic lipase-related protein 2-like". The record is from RNAcentral. Lineage: Eukaryota; Metazoa; Arthropoda; Arachnida; Ixodida; Ixodidae.
GUAUAGGUACGUUUUAAUGCUUAUAAUUGCGAGGUAGCCUGGUCUCGCCAAUCCGCCGGCAAUUAGCAAGACGUUCUGUAAUUGGCAGCAUAGCACCAGCACCGCAGUAUGUGGUCGACUGCAACCGUGUUAUUUUUUUGCUGCAUUCCGAUUCUCAUCGACAAAGUGCACGCCGAAAGGAAUUGCUAUGGCGAGCUCGGUUGCAUGGAGACUGGUGGCGCUUUCUACGAUCCCGUGCACCGUCCCUUUAACCUGGUUCCGGCGGACCGGCACGUGGUGAACACCAGAUUCAUCCUGCACAACCGACGCAUCGAGCCGGGCCACAUGGUACUCCUGUGGAACUCCUCCGUGGAAACAAUUAGCGCCGCGCCUUUCAUGAGCUCCCGGGAGACUAAGUUCCUCGUGCACGGCUACCUGGACAAGCUGUACUUCGCCGCCUGGUUGUCAGAUAUGAAGGACGCCUACCUGAAGCAGGCCGACGUCAACGUGAUCAUCGUCGACUGGGGCGAGGCCAACGCCGGCAUCUACGACCGCGCGUGCGCCAAUGCCAGGAUCGUCGGGGCCGAGCUCGCGCUCUUCAUCCGGAAGCUGAAGGAGGCGUUCGGCGCCGACCCGAGGUCGAUGCACAUAGUCGGCCACAGCUUGGGUGCACACGUUGCCGGUUACGCGGGCGCCAACACCACCAACCUCGGAAGAAUCACGGCCCUGGAUCCUGCCGAGCCGAACUUCCAGAAGAUGCCUCCCGAAGUACGACUGGACCCCACGGACGCCGAGUUCGUGGACGCCAUCCACACAGAUUCUCAUCCGUAUCUCACCAAGUUGUGGCGCAGCGAAGGCAUGGGAAUGUGGGACCCCGUCGGCCACGUGGACUUCUACCCUAACGGCGGCGAGUACAUGCCAGGCUGCGACACCGUGAACCGAGUCUGGAAGAUAUUCUCUGAUGGCCUCAUCAAAGGUGUCCGCGCCGUCCUCAGCUGCAACCACCAGCGCGCCGUCAAGUACAUGCUGGAGUCGAUCUCGAACCGGGACUGCCUGCCGCUCGCCUACGAGUGCCCUUCCUUCGAGGCGUACGAAUCGGGACAAUGCUCCGAUUGCGGCGCGGAUGGCUCAAAGUGCGCAACCAUGGGUGAGCGCGCUGUGGAGUGGAAACACUUCAAGAAGAACGAGCCGACACGAAUGUUCACCGUCACCAACGCUCACAGCAAGUUCUGCGGUAAGUGAACUCCCACUUUACGCUAACUACUGGCAAAAAAGUACAAUAUGGCAACGGCAGGGGUGUCGUUCUCCUGCGAGAAGAAGGCCAAGACGCAAGCAUCAAUGUCAACGAAGCGCCAAUCGAUUUCCAUCCACAACGAAACUACACAUUCUUGGUUUCGUCGUCAACUCCGAUAACCGAACACAGUAGGCUGUUCAUGGAAUACAGGACGACCCAAUUACUGUUCACCUACAACAUUCCCAUGAUUCAAGUCUCCUUUCGACCGAUGACGUCACCAUUUACGGAAAGCGAAGCUUUAGAGAAAACAUUUCACAAGUGCUCGGCGUGGAACCCUGCAGGAAUCUCAACACACGUCCCGGUGGCAUUAAAGGAUUGCUAGACGUCAA